CCUACGGGAGGCAGCAGUGGGGAAUAUUGGACAAUGGGGGCAACCCUGAUCCAGCAAUGCCGCGUGUGUGAAGAAGGCCUUCGGGUUGUAAAGCACUUUUAUCGGGAACGAAACAUUGUCGGUUAAUACCCGGCAAGACUGACGGUACCCGAGGAAUAAGCACCGGCUAACUCCGUGCCAGCAGCCGCGGUAAUACGGAGGGUGCAGCGUUAAUCGGAAUUACUGGGCGUAAAGCGUGCGCAGGCGGUUUGUUAAGUCUGUUGUGAAAUCCCCGAGCUCAACUUGGGAAUUGCAAUGGAUACUGGCAGGCUGGAGUAUGGUAGAGGAAGGUGGAAUUCCCGGUGUAGCAGUGAAAUGCGUAGAGAUCGGGAGGAACACCAGUGGCGAAGGCGGCCUUCUGGACCAAUACUGACGCUCAUGCACGAAAGCGUGGGGAGCAAACAGGAUUAGAUACCCUGGUAGUCCACGCCCUAAACGAUGCGAACUGGAUGUUGGGUACAUUACGGUACUCAGUGUCGAAGCUAACGCGUUAAGUUCGCCGCCUGGGGAGUACGGUCGCAAGACUGAAACUCAAAGGAAUUGACGG
This 586-nucleotide ribosomal RNA is filed under the name uncultured Lysobacterales bacterium. RNAcentral describes it as "bacterial SSU rRNA". It matches the Rfam family "Bacterial small subunit ribosomal RNA", at positions 338 to 916 of the family's 1533-position model. The record is from RNAcentral. Lineage: Bacteria; Pseudomonadati; Pseudomonadota; Gammaproteobacteria; Lysobacterales.